Ailuropoda melanoleuca (giant panda) is the source of this 389-nucleotide long non-coding RNA. RefSeq lists it as uncharacterized. The transcript has 3 exons. The record is from RefSeq and is a predicted model, not a curated record. Lineage: Eukaryota; Metazoa; Chordata; Mammalia; Carnivora; Ursidae.
GGAGUGCGCGCGGCCGCGUCGGGAUCCGGCAGAACCAAAUAUAGUCGAGCCUGGAUUAUUUUUAGCCGGGCCUCGGGCGCGAGCCCGCCGCGUGAGGGGGCGCCCUGACCCCGCCAGGAGUGCGGAGGGGGCGGGGGCGGAGUCGCCAUCUUGGACCCGGCUCGACCCCGUCUAGUGACCGGCGGCGCUGGGCCAGGCUCUGCGCAGGGGGUCGGGAAGCACAAGGAAGUUAAGUAACUUAACCACGUGCACGCCAAGAUUUGCAGCCAGGUAGUCUUCAGAUCCUAUGUGCUUCGCUGUGUCCCAGUGCCAGCCUCAUGCACGUUCGUUUUCAUUCUGACAGGUGUGAGGUGAUAUCUCUUUGAGGUUUUGAUGUAUAUUUCUCUGAU